UAACACGUAUGGGGCAAGCGUUGUUCGGAAUUACUGGGCGUAAAGGGUGCGUAGGCGGUUCAGCAAGCUUGGUGUUAAAUCCCCCGGCCCAACCGGGGAGCAGCGCUGGGAACUGCUGGGCUGGAGUUCAGGAGGGGAAGCUGGAAUUCCUGGUGUAGGGGUGAAAUCUGUAGAGAUCAGGAAGAACACCGAUGGCGAAGGCAAGCUUCUGGCCAUGGACUGACGCUGAGGCACGAAAGCGUGGGGAGCGAACAGGAUUAGAUACCCUGGUAGUCCACGCCGUAAACGAUGUGCACUAGGUGUUGGGGCGAUGAAAGCCUCGGUGCCGUAGCGAACGUGUUAAGUGCACCGCCUGGGGAGUAUGCUCGCAAGGGUG
This 376-nucleotide ribosomal RNA is filed under the name uncultured bacterium. RNAcentral describes it as "bacterial SSU rRNA". It matches the Rfam family "Bacterial small subunit ribosomal RNA", at positions 521 to 896 of the family's 1533-position model. The record is from RNAcentral.